Molecule: long non-coding RNA, 2418 nt
Filed under: Mytilus galloprovincialis (Mediterranean mussel)
Lineage: Eukaryota; Metazoa; Mollusca; Bivalvia; Mytilida; Mytilidae
Source: RNAcentral
GUUUUUUUUUUUUGCCUAUUCUCGGUCCAUUGUUUUCUGAUUUGAAAUUCCACCUAGACCCCUAAACAUAGCCAAAGAGAAUGAAAAACUGAGGACCGUCUUCAAAUUCAAUCGUUCACUGGGAAAUGAGAGUAAUUUAAAAAAAAUUAAGAACAUAUUUUGUCUUGCAGCAGGCCAUACAUAAGGAUCCCUCAGAGAGUUGUUGUACACGAGUCAUUCGAUUUUAAGUCCCCGUCUUAACCGGAUGAUCGAGGCUGCAAAUUUUCCCGUAACAAACAGCCAAAUGCUGCAUUUUAGCAAGGACCUCACUGCCGGACGGGAGACUAUAUUUUAAUACCCACGAGUCAACGUUUGGGUGAUAGAAUGAGUAGUUCAAAUAUACCGUUUCCACAAAAACGCCGUUUCUGUGAAAUGCAUUUGAUUUAAAUAAGUGGGACUAUUUGGUUGUCGGACUAGUAGUGUGCAAGAUUUAUGGUGCGUCGGAACAAUAAGGUGUCUUGAUUACUGAAUUGCAAGCAUCUGGUCUUGGACAGGAACCUUAAAAAAAUGUAUCGGAGUUGAACAUGUUUGUGAGAGUUCAAUCCUUCUAUUAACCUUGGAACAUUGUUAUCACAAAACACAAUAAGAACAACAUGUAAUACCAGAUGGAAACGAAUUGGCUUAUCAAGAUUAGAAAUUUGAAAGAAAAAUAAUAAAAGUGCUUCCCAUUAAUUUCAAACAGUUUAGGCCAGUGCAGGCCAUGAGUCCAGUCCACAAGUCCAGUUUAGUCACGAUUUUACCCUUUGCCCUACACAAAGCUAAAAUGUGUUGUUUGUCCUUUAAAUUAUGUAACCGUCUGCAGUGCGGGGAUAGCAGACGAUUGCAAUGUAUGAUUAUGUAUAUUAUGUCAUUUUUAAAUGUCAAUGAAAUUGACGGAAGCACGUGUCAGCUGUGUAAUGGCUGAGAAUUAGAUAUAAAUCAACGGAAAAUAAUAACUACAAUUAGUUUUAAUACAAAACUUUAGAAUAAUUUUGUGGACAAUUUCAAUAGAAAAAUAUGUGCUAAUGAACGAUAUUUAAGUAUAGUAAAGAUGUGGUAUGAUUGCAAACGAGAACACUAAGGGAGCUACCAUUUGAUUUUUUUUUUUGGGGGGGGGGGGGGGGGGGGGAGCUAGGAUGAAAUUUGAAAAAAAUAGGCAGGACAGGAGUUUUGAGUAAAAAAAAAAGCAGGAUGUGACACUUGCAAAAAAAAAAGUCAGGACGACAAUUUUGGUAAAAAAAAGUCAGGAUAAACUAAAAAAAAAAAAAGGCAGGACCGAUUAGAGUGAAAAAUAAAAAGGCAGGACAGAGAUUACAGCUAAAAAAAAAUGCAGGACAAAAUUUUUCAUCCUAGCCCCCCCCCCCCCCAAUCAAAUGGUAGCUCCCUAACCACCAGAGACCAAAUGACACAAAAUGAGCAAAAUCCUAAACGUAGUCAGAUAUUUAUAAAAGGCGUGACUUGACAUAAUUUUGAUGGAACAAAUGUGCUAAUGGACGAUUUAUGUGGUAUAAUUGCCAAUGAUCGAGACAAAUUAUCUACCAGUGACCAAGUGACAUAGAUAUAGCUAAUAUAUAUCAAUCUACGACUUCUAACAAUAUUAAGCAAAAUCCAUACCAUAGAGUCCGCUAUAAAAGACCAUGACAUAUGUCAUCAUUUCAACGCAACACAUCUGCUGAAUGAAAGAUACAUGUAAAUAUGUGGUAUGGUUACCAGUUAGACAAAUAUCAACAAUAGACCAAAUGACAUAGACUUAGAAAAUAUAUAUCAUCGGAUGAACUCCAACAAUGAGAUACACCGAAACCGUAUAGACAUCCAUAAAAAGUCCCGACAUGGCAAAAUGUAAAACAAUUCAAACGACGUAACUAACGGCCUUAUUUACAACAAAACAAUAAAUAUAUUUUUAAAACAAAUAUGACAGCAGCCAAUCACAAGAAUAUGGCGGGGUUAAUGAACAUGUCAGCGAGAGUUCUCCUCUCCUCCCCUUCCCCUCCCCUAAACCCGAUACAGUGGUGUAUGAGCACCACAUAAUAUUUUAAUUUUGAAGUUUUCAAUAAAUGGCUAUUCUAAAUUUAAUCAACAGAUAGUGUCUCAAGGUACAGUUGCAAAUUCUCAAAGCAUUUCUCUUUCAGAAACCAUGAUUAUUUACUAUUUAAACUUAUAUUUGGUUUGGAUGCAAUGCAGUGGCGGAUCCAGGAUGAACCUCCCUAAGCUUUUUUUAGAUGAUAAAUGCAUUUGAAUGGGGACAUGUAGUUGGAACCCCCCACCCACACACACACACACAAACACCCCUGCAAUUAGUUCAUUACUAAAUAUGGGAUACUAGAAUAAUAAUGGAUUUUGUGUGUACAAAUGAUGACAUGAAAAUUCAACUUCUAAAUAGAAAUUGCAUUCAGGCUUCCC